GACGAACGCUGGCGGCGUGCCUAAUACAUGCAAGUCGAACGCUUCUUUCCUCCCGAGUGCUUGCACUCAAUUGGAAAGAGGAGUGGCGGACGGGUGAGUAACACGUGGGUAACCUACCCAUCAGAGGGGGAUAACACUUGGAAACAGGUGCUAAUACCGCAUAACAGUUUAUGCCGCAUGGCAUAAGAGUGAAAGGCGCUUUCGGGUGUCGUUGAUGGAUGGACCCGCGGUGCAUUAGCUAGUUGGUGAGGUAACGGCUCACCAAGGCCACGAUGCAUAGCCGACCUGAGAGGGUGAUCGGCCACACUGGGACUGAGACACGGCCCAGACUCCUACGGGAGGCAGCAGUAGGGAAUCUUCGGCAAUGGACGAAAGUCUGGCCGAGCAACGCCGCGUGAGUGAAGAAGGUUUUCGGAUCGUAAAACUCUGUUGUUAGAGAAGAACAAGGACGUUAGUAACUGAACGUCCCCUGACGGUAUCUAACCAGAAAGCCACGGCUAACUACGUG
Molecule: ribosomal RNA, 508 nt
Filed under: uncultured bacterium
Lineage: Bacteria
Description: partial 16S ribosomal RNA
Rfam family: Bacterial small subunit ribosomal RNA
Source: RNAcentral